Molecule: ribosomal RNA, 405 nt
Filed under: uncultured bacterium
Lineage: Bacteria
Description: partial 16S ribosomal RNA
Rfam family: Bacterial small subunit ribosomal RNA
Source: RNAcentral
GACGAACGCUGGCGGCGUGCUUAACACAUGCAAGUCGAGCGGAGCGGCGCACGGGUGAGUAACGCGUGAGUAACUGCCCCCCUCUCUGGGAUAACAGUUGGAAACGGCUGCUAAUACCGGAUAGUGGGGGAUGACUCGCGGCCUAUCAGUUUGUUGGUGGGGUAGUGGCCUACCAGGGCGACGACGGAUAGCCGGCCUGGGGGGGCGACCGGCCACAUUGGGCUGAGAGACGGCCCAAACUCCUACGGGGGGCAGCAGUGGGGAAUAUUGCACAAUGGGGGAAACCCUGAGGCAGCAGCGCCGGGGGCGGGAUGACGGCCUUCGGGUUGUAAACCGCUUUCAGCCAUGACGCGGUAGUGGCAGAAGAAGCACCGGCUAACUACGUGCCAGCAGCCGCGGUAAUUC